This 94-nucleotide transfer RNA is filed under the name Mycosarcoma maydis (corn smut). Its description in RNAcentral is "tRNA-Thr for anticodon CGU". It matches the Rfam family "tRNA". From Rfam's summary of the family: Transfer RNA (tRNA) molecules are approximately 80 nucleotides in length. Their secondary structure includes four short double-helical elements and three loops (D, anti-codon, and T loops). Lineage: Eukaryota; Fungi; Basidiomycota; Ustilaginomycetes; Ustilaginales. The record is from RNAcentral.
GCUCCUUUAGCUCAGUGGGAGAGCGCGCCACUCGUACGAUUCUAUCUGUUGUACAGACAUGGUGAGGUCACUAGUUCAAUCCUGGUAGGGAGCA